GCCUGGGUGGCUUAGUCGGUUAAGCGUCUGACUUCGGCUCAGGUCAUGAUCUCACAGUUUGUGGGUUUAAGCGCCGUAUCAGGCU
Molecule: transfer RNA, 85 nt
Filed under: Felis catus (domestic cat)
Lineage: Eukaryota; Metazoa; Chordata; Mammalia; Carnivora; Felidae
Rfam family: tRNA
About the family: Transfer RNA (tRNA) molecules are approximately 80 nucleotides in length. Their secondary structure includes four short double-helical elements and three loops (D, anti-codon, and T loops).
Source: Rfam by way of RNAcentral